GUAUGGUGCAAGCGUUAUCCGGAUUUACUGGGUGUAAAGGGAGCGUAGACGGCUGUGUAAGUCUGAAGUGAAAGCCCGGGGCUCAACCCCGGGACUGCUUUGGAAACUAUGCAGCUAGAGUGUCGGAGAGGUAAGCGGAAUUCCUAGUGUAGCGGUGAAAUGCGUAGAUAUUAGGAAGAACACCUGUGGCGAAGGCGGCUUACUGGACGGUAACUGACGUUGAGGCUCGAAAGCGUGGGGAGCAAACAGGAUUAGAUACCCUGGUAGUCCACGCCGUAAACGAUGAGUGCUAAGUGUUGGGGGUCGAACCUCAGUGCUGAAGUUAACGCAUUAAGCACUCCGCCUGGGGAGU
RNAcentral lists this ribosomal RNA (352 nucleotides) under uncultured bacterium. Its description in RNAcentral is "bacterial SSU rRNA". It matches the Rfam family "Bacterial small subunit ribosomal RNA", at positions 527 to 881 of the family's 1533-position model. The record is from RNAcentral.